AUUGAACGCUGGCGGCAUGCCUUACACAUGCAAGUCGAACGGCAGCACGGGUGCUUGCCCCUGGUGGCGAGUGGCGAGCGGGUGAGUAAUACAUCGGAACAUGUCCUGUAGUGGGGGAUAGCCCGGCGAAAGCCGGAUUAAUACCGCAUACGAUCUACGGAUGAAAGCGGGGGACCUUCGGGCCUCGCGCUAUAGGGUUGGCCGAUGGCUGAUUAGCUAGUUGGUGGGGUAAAGGCCUACCAAGGCGACGAUCAGUAGCUGGUCUGAGAGGACGACCAGCCACACUGGGACUGAGACACGGCCCAGACUCCUACGGGAGGCAGCAGUGGGGAAUCUUGGACAAUGGGCGAAAGCCUGAUCCAGCAAUGCCGCGUGUGUGAAGAAGGCCUUCGGGUUGUAAGGCACUUUUGUCCGGAAAGAAAUCCUUGGCCCUAAUACGGUCGGGGGAUGACGGUACCGGAAGAAUAAGCACCGGCUAACUACGUG
RNAcentral lists this ribosomal RNA (486 nucleotides) under uncultured bacterium. RNAcentral describes it as "partial 16S ribosomal RNA". It matches the Rfam family "Bacterial small subunit ribosomal RNA", at positions 30 to 507 of the family's 1533-position model. The record is from RNAcentral.